AGGUAUGUCACAAGAAGCCCUCCAGGCAGCGAGUCACUUAGCACUGCACAGGUAGCAACUUUCUAAAAUAUUUUACCUUUAGUAUUGUCAUUUCAUAUUUCUGUCUUUCUCUUACUUUAGUGUACUAUUUUAUGGUGUCUUAAACCAUCACGCAAUUCCACGGGUAUGCAGCACAAAGAAUUGAGAAGUAAUUCCGAUAAGAGCAGGGGAAUAGUAAUUGAAACUGACACCCAUGUGACACUUUACAGUUUACAAAGUGCAUGGGUCGCAAUUCCAGAGUCUUCAGCUUUGGAGGAGACUGAGGUGCGGGACAUGGAAAAGAAGGUCAUUCUCUUGGAGCCCCAACAAUGACCAGGAGAAAUUCAUUUGGCGGUAAAACCACACGAACCCUAUUACAUCACCAAGCCCUCACCGUUUCCAGCACCCAGGGUCUCUACAAAGAGGCAAGCUGGGACUGAAAUCUCUCCCGAGUGUGGAAGACGGACGGGAGCAGCAGCCGGACAGCACAGCUCAAGGCCGAGAGGCUCACUGGGUGACUCGGGCCGCU
This is a long non-coding RNA of Homo sapiens (human), 547 nucleotides long. The record is from Ensembl. NCBI's taxonomy places the organism in Eukaryota, Metazoa, Chordata, Mammalia, Primates, Hominidae.